Molecule: transfer RNA, 71 nt
Filed under: Loxodonta africana (African savanna elephant)
Lineage: Eukaryota; Metazoa; Chordata; Mammalia; Proboscidea; Elephantidae
Rfam family: tRNA
About the family: Transfer RNA (tRNA) molecules are approximately 80 nucleotides in length. Their secondary structure includes four short double-helical elements and three loops (D, anti-codon, and T loops).
Source: Rfam by way of RNAcentral
GCAUUGGUGGUUCAGCGGUAGAAUUCUUGCUUUCCACGCGGGAGACCUGGGUUCAAUUCCUGGCCGAUGCA